This 373-nucleotide ribosomal RNA is filed under the name uncultured organism. RNAcentral describes it as "bacterial SSU rRNA". It matches the Rfam family "Bacterial small subunit ribosomal RNA", at positions 526 to 896 of the family's 1533-position model. The record is from RNAcentral.
CGUAGGGCGCAAGCGUUGUCCGGAAUUAUUGGGCGUAAAGAGCUCGUAGGCGGCUUGACACGUCGGGUGUGAAGGCCCGGGGCUUAACCCCGGGUCUGCAUUCGAUACGGGCUAGCUAGAGUGUGGUAGGGGAGAUCGGAAUUCCUGGUGUAGCGGUGAAAUGCGCAGAUAUCAGGAGGAACACCGGUGGCGAAGGCGGAUCUCUGGGCCAUUACUGACGCUGAGGAGCGAAAGCGUGGGGAGCGAACAGGAUUAGAUACCCUGGUAGUCCACGCCGUAAACGGUGGGAACUAGGUGUUGGCGACAUUCCACGUCGUCGGUGCCGCAGCUAACGCAUUAAGUUCCCCGCCUGGGGAGUACGGCCGCAAGGCUA